RNAcentral lists this ribosomal RNA (301 nucleotides) under uncultured bacterium. RNAcentral describes it as "partial 16S ribosomal RNA". It matches the Rfam family "Bacterial small subunit ribosomal RNA", at positions 509 to 807 of the family's 1533-position model. The record is from RNAcentral.
CAGUCGCCACGGGAAUACGAAGGAGGCUAGCGUUGUUCGGAAUCACUGGGCGUAAAGGGCUCGCAGGCGGUUUCUUAAGUCUGAUGUGAAAGCCCCCGGCUCAACCGGGGAGGGUCAUUGGAAACUGGGAGACUUGAGUGCAGAAGAGGAGAGUGGAAUUCCACGUGUAGCGGUGAAGUGCGUAGAGAUGUGGAGGAACACCAGUGGCGAAGGCGACUCUCUGGUCUGUAACUGACGCUGAGGAGCGAAAGCGUGGGGAGCGAACAGGAUUAGAUACCCGAGUAGUCCCUGUCUCUUAUAC